This is a non-coding RNA of Apaloderma vittatum (bar-tailed trogon), 73 nucleotides long. NCBI's taxonomy places the organism in Eukaryota, Metazoa, Chordata, Aves, Trogoniformes, Trogonidae. The record is from Rfam.
GGCCGGUUAGCUCAGUCAGUUGAGCAUAGCACUAACAAUGCUAAGGUCGUGGGUUCGAUUCCCGUUUGGUCCA